UCUAAGGGACGAGGCCAUAGCUCUAG
RNAcentral lists this non-coding RNA (26 nucleotides) under Mus musculus (house mouse). The record is from RNAcentral. Lineage: Eukaryota; Metazoa; Chordata; Mammalia; Rodentia; Muridae.